Molecule: ribosomal RNA, 407 nt
Filed under: uncultured bacterium
Lineage: Bacteria
Description: partial 16S ribosomal RNA
Rfam family: Bacterial small subunit ribosomal RNA
Source: RNAcentral
GACGAACGCUGGCGGCGUGCCUAAUACAUGCAAGUAGGACGCAGUUGCGAACGGGGGAGUAACGCGUAGGUAACUACCUAUUAGAGGGGGAUAACUAGUGGAUACGAUAGCUAAUACCGCAUACUAGUAGAUGGACCUGAGUUGUAUUAGUUAGUAGGUAGGGUAAUGGUCUACCUAGGAAACGAUACAUAGCCGACCCGGGAGGGUGAUCCGCCACACUGGGACUGAGGCACGGCCCAGACUCCUACGGGAGGCAGCAGUAGGGAAUCUUCGGCAAUGGGGGGAACCCUGACCGAGCAACGCCGCGUGAGUGAAGAAGGUUUUCGGAUCGUAAAGCUCUGUUGUUAAGGAAGCGGUACUUAACCAGAAAGGGACGGCUAACUACGUGCCAGCAGCCGCGGUAAUUC